Long non-coding RNA from Hibiscus syriacus, 917 nucleotides. RefSeq lists it as uncharacterized. NCBI's taxonomy places the organism in Eukaryota, Viridiplantae, Streptophyta, Magnoliopsida, Malvales, Malvaceae. The record is from RefSeq and is a predicted model, not a curated record. The transcript has 5 exons.
GGGACAUGACCGUCAGAUUCUGAUAUCUGUGGAAGAAUAAUAAGCUUCGGAAGCCCUAAUUGCAAAAUUGCUCUCUCUGUGUCUUAGUUUGAAGCUUCAAGGGAUUUGCUGGUGGAGAGGAGGAUAGGGAUCUCUCUGCCUUCAAAGCUCCUGUCCAUUUAGAAAGAAUUUUGUCUUGUCCUCUGUUCUGCUGCGUUCUUUGCUGUUCGAGCGUCAUGGCUUCAAAGCGGAUUUUGAAGGAACUCAAGGAUUUGCAGAAAGAUCCACCAACUUCUUGCAGUGCUGGUCCUGUAGCUGAAGACAUGUUUCAUUGGCAAGCAACAAUCAUGGGCCCUUCGAUAGCCCUUAUGCUGGAGGUGUAUUUUUAGUUACGAUUCAUUUUCCUCCGGACUACCUUUCAAGCCUCCUAAGGUUGCAUUUAGGACCAAGGUCUUCCAUCCAAACAUCAACAGCAACGGGAGCAUUUGUCUUGAUAUCCUAAAAGAACAAUGGAGCCCUGCACUAACCAUUUCCAAGGUUCUGCUCUCAAUCUGUUCAUUGCUGACUGAUCCAAACCCCGACGACCCACUUGUUCCAGAGAUUUCUCACAUGUACAAGACUGAUCGGUCCAAGUAUGAAGCGACUGCACGCAGCUGGACCCAGAAGUACGCUAUGGGAUGACAGUGAUCAUUGUGUAAUACCUAUUGGCUUUUGUAUGUUGUCAAAUGUGUCAAACAAAGUGAUGUUUUCUUAUGGGAAGGGAGGUGGUGUUUUCCUAAAGGAACUUGUCAUUUUGUUCAUGCUUUGAGUGGGAGGAUAUGGACAUUCUUUUAUACUUUGCACGCAUUGUAACUGGUGUGAAACCUUUGUUUUGAUCAAUGUUGAAGUGGCUGUCAAAACCCUUGUUUCGUUCAAUGUUGAAGUGCUUCAGAUCUACA